RNAcentral lists this non-coding RNA (117 nucleotides) under Bacillus sp. (in: firmicutes). RNAcentral's name for it is "Bacillus sp. SAM-I sequence". It matches the Rfam family "SAM riboswitch aptamer (S box leader)". From Rfam's summary of the family: The SAM riboswitch is found upstream of a number of genes which code for proteins involved in methionine or cysteine biosynthesis in Gram-positive bacteria. The SAM riboswitch acts at the level of transcription termination control. The predicted structure consists of a complex stem-loop region followed by a single stem loop terminator region. The record is from RNAcentral. Lineage: Bacteria; Bacillati; Bacillota; Bacilli; Caryophanales; Bacillaceae.
UUCUUAUCAAGAGAGGUUGAGGGAAUGGCCCGAAGACACCUCAGCAACCAUCAAUGGCUACACUCAUUGAAAAGGUGCUAAGUCCUGCAAAUUAUUCGUUAAUUUGCAAGAUAAGAA